RNAcentral lists this ribosomal RNA (1997 nucleotides) under human gut metagenome. RNAcentral's name for it is "bacterial LSU rRNA". It matches the Rfam family "Bacterial large subunit ribosomal RNA", at positions 591 to 2570 of the family's 2925-position model. The record is from RNAcentral.
GGGUGACUGCGUACCUUUUGUAUAAUGGGUCAGCGACUUAUAUUCUGUAGCAAGGUUAACCGUAUAGGGGAGCCGCAGGGAAACCGAGUCUUAACUGGGCGUUAAGUUGCAGGGUAUAGACCCGAAACCCGGUGAUCUAGCCAUGGGCAGGUUGAAGGUUGGGUAACACUAACUGGAGGACCGAACCGACUAAUGUUGAAAAAUUAGCGGAUGACUUGUGGCUGGGGGUGAAAGGCCAAUCAAACCGGGAGAUAGCUGGUUCUCCCCGAAAGCUAUUUAGGUAGCGCCUCGUGAAUUCAUCUUCGGGGGUAGAGCACUGUUUCGGCUAGGGGGUCAUCCCGACUUACCAACCCGAUGCAAACUACGAAUACCGAAGAAUGUUAUCACGGGAGACACACGGCGGGUGCUAACGUCCGUCGUGAAGAGGGAAACAACCCAGACCGCCAGCUAAGGUCCCAAAGUCAUGGUUAAGUGGGAAACGAUGUGGGAAGGCCCAGACAGCCAGGAUGUUGGCUUAGAAGCAGCCAUCAUUUAAAGAAAGCGUAAUAGCUCACUGGUCGAGUCGGCCUGCGCGGAAGAUGUAACGGGGCUAAACCAUGCACCGAAGCUGCGGCAGCGACACUAUGUGUUGUUGGGUAGGGGAGCGUUCUGUAAGCCGUUGAAGGUGGCCUGUGAGGGUUGCUGGAGGUAUCAGAAGUGCGAAUGCUGACAUAAGUAACGAUAAUGCGGGUGAAAAACCCGCACGCCGGAAGACCAAGGGUUCCUGUCCAACGUUAAUCGGGGCAGGGUGAGUCGACCCCUAAGGCGAGGCCGAAAGGCGUAGUCGAUGGGAAACAGGUUAAUAUUCCUGUACUUGGUGUUACUGCGAAGGGGGGACGGAGAAGGCUAUGUUGGCCGGGCGACGGUUGUCCCGGUUUAAGCAUGUAGGCGGAUGUUCCAGGUAAAUCCGGAGCGUCACUAACGCUGAGGUGUGAUGACGAGGCACUACGGUGCUGAAGUGACAAAUGCCCUGCUUCCAGGAAAAGCCUCUAAGCAUCAGGUAACAUCAAAUCGUACCCCAAACCGACACAGGUGGUCAGGUAGAGAAUACCAAGGCGCUUGAGAGAACUCGGGUGAAGGAACUAGGCAAAAUGGUGCCGUAACUUCGGGAGAAGGCACGCUGAUGGUAGGUGAAGUGACUUGCUCAUGGAGCUGAAAUCAGUCGAAGAUACCAGCUGGCUGCAACUGUUUAUUAAAAACACAGCACUGUGCAAACACGAAAGUGGACGUAUACGGUGUGACGCCUGCCCGGUGCCGGAAGGUUAAUUGAUGGGGUUAUCCUCGCGGAGAAGCUCUUGAUCGAAGCCCCGGUAAACGGCGGCCGUAACUAUAACGGUCCUAAGGUAGCGAAAUUCCUUGUCGGGUAAGUUCCGACCUGCACGAAUGGCGUAAUGAUGGCCAGGCUGUCUCCACCCGAGACUCAGUGAAAUUGAACUCGCUGUGAAGAUGCAGUGUACCCGCGGCAAGACGGAAAGACCCCGUGAACCUUUACUAUAGCUUGACACUGAACACUGGUCCUUGAUGUGUAGGAUAGGUGGGAGGCUUUGAAGUGUGGACGCCAGUCUGCAUGGAGCCAUCCUUGAAAUACCACCCUUUAAUGGCUGGUGUUCUAACGUGGGCCCGUGAUCCGGGUUGCGGACAGUGUCUGGUGGGUAGUUUGACUGGGGCGGUCUCCUCCUAAAGAGUAACGGAGGAGCACGAAGGUCAGCUAAUCCUGGUCGGACAUCAGGAGGUUAGUGCAAUGGCAUAAGCUGGCUUGACUGCGAGCGUGACGGCGCGAGCAGGUGCGAAAGCAGGUCAUAGUGAUCCGGUGGUUCUGAAUGGAAGGGCCAUCGCUCAACGGAUAAAAGGUACUCCGGGGAUAACAGGCUGAUACCGCCCAAGAGUUCAUAUCGACGGCGGUGUUUGGCACCUCGAUGUCGGCUCAUCACAUCCUGGGGCUGAAGUAGGUCCCAAGG